Saimiri boliviensis boliviensis (Bolivian squirrel monkey) is the source of this 309-nucleotide long non-coding RNA. RefSeq lists it as uncharacterized. NCBI's taxonomy places the organism in Eukaryota, Metazoa, Chordata, Mammalia, Primates, Cebidae. The record is from RefSeq and is a predicted model, not a curated record.
CUCAAGUGUUGCGCUUGAAUAAGAACAGAUUCUGACCCUUUUGAUUCCUUUAAGUUGACAGGAUGGAGUAAAUAAUGCUGCAAUCACGACUCUCCAUGGAAUCUCAAGGACACCACAUUUUCCCCCAUCUUGUGGAAGGAUGACCUUUUCUGAUAUUUGCUCCAAACUCUGAGUGAGACCCUGUGUAAGUCCCACAGGUCUCACAGUCUCUGCCACCAUUUUCCUUUCAUGUCUGCCUUGCCUGUUGGAAUUGAGGCUCACUUCUUCAAAUGGACACAAGACUAUAGCAAUAAAUAAAAACGGAAUAAA